This 254-nucleotide ribosomal RNA is filed under the name uncultured bacterium. RNAcentral describes it as "partial 16S ribosomal RNA". It matches the Rfam family "Bacterial small subunit ribosomal RNA", at positions 335 to 604 of the family's 1533-position model. The record is from RNAcentral.
UGCCUACGGGGCGCAGCAGUGGGGAAUAUUGGGCAAUGGGCGCAAGACUGACCCAGCAACGCCGCGGGAAGGAAGAAGGCUUUCGGGUUGUAAACUUCUUUUCUCAGGGACGAAGAAAGUGACGGUACCUGUUUAGAAAGCUCCGGCUAACUACGUGCCAGCAGCCGCGGUAAUACGUAGGGAGCAAGCGUUGUCCGGAAUUACUGUGCGUAAAGUGCGCGGAGGUGGGUGCUUAAGUCAGGUGUGAAAACUCU